GACGAACGCUGGCGGCAGGCUUAACACAUGCAAGUCGAACGAGUGUCGGACGGGUGCGUAAUGCUUGGGAAUCUAGCUUAUGGAGGGGGAUAACUACGGGAAACUGUAGCUAAUACCGCGUACCAUAGGAUGAGCCCAAGGGGGAUUAGGUAGUUGGUGAGGUAAAGGCUCACCAAGCUGACGAUCUCUAGCUGGUCUGAGAGGAUGAACAGCCACACUGGGACUGAGACACGGCCCAGACUCCUACGGGAGGCAGCAGUGGGGAAUAUUGCGAAAUGGGGGCAACCUGACGCAGCCAUGCCGCGUGAAUGAAGAAGGCCUUCGGGUUUUAAAGUUCUUUCGGUAGCGAGGCGUUAACUACAGAAGAAGCACCGGCUAACUCCGUGCCAGCAGCCGCGGUAAUUC
Molecule: ribosomal RNA, 405 nt
Filed under: uncultured bacterium
Lineage: Bacteria
Description: partial 16S ribosomal RNA
Rfam family: Bacterial small subunit ribosomal RNA
Source: RNAcentral